This is a long non-coding RNA of Acinonyx jubatus (cheetah), 2961 nucleotides long. RefSeq lists it as uncharacterized. Lineage: Eukaryota; Metazoa; Chordata; Mammalia; Carnivora; Felidae. The transcript has 5 exons. The record is from RefSeq and is a predicted model, not a curated record.
CACUCUUGGUGGGAAUGCAAACUAGUACAGCUACCUUGGAGAACAGUACAGAGUUUCCUCAAAAAGUUAAAAGUAGAACCACCCAAUGGUCUAUAAUUCCACUCCUGGGUAUUUACCCAAAGGAAAGGAAAUCACUGUCUGGAAGAGACCUCUGCACCCUCACAUUCAUAGCAGCAUUUUUCAUAAUGGUCAAGUCAUGGAAACAGGUUAAGUGUCAAUCCAAUGAGUGAUGCCUAUACAAAGGAAUAUUGCUCAGCUGUAAAAAAGAAUGGGCAGAUCUGGAGGACGUUAUGCUGAGUGAAAUAAGCCAGACACACAAGAAAAGGCUGUGUGGUCUCACUUACAUGUGGAAUCUGAAGAAAAGAUAGAAGCCAAGCACAGAAUGACCUGGGGUAGGGACACGUUGAUUGUGGGGCGCACUGUGGCAGUGAUGCAGGAGGAAGCCUGGAGACCUGGUGCCCAGCAUGGUGACCAGCUGACAGCCCUGUACUGAAUGUGUGUGACUUCAGAUGCUGUGACCACACACAGAUGGUGACUGAGUGGGGAGAAGACGGGUCCAGAGCUUGGCUCCAGCCAUCAUGUCACUGGCCCCUGGACCUCCAACAGCCCAAGAUGAUUCUCUGUGCAGCAGCCUCAGCAGCCACCUGAGAUGCAACGCAAUGUCCCUGGUCAGCAGGGGCGGCCACCCUACUCCACAGUGAUCCAGCCCAGAGCCCCUCAGUGCAGUGACCAAGACCCGGGCUGCAGAGGCUGGGCUGUGGCACACAGCUGUCUUCAGGAGGACAAGCAAUUUAACAUACCAAGGCAUCUGACAUGAGAGGAGAAGCUAUUUUCUUCAUUGGAAAAAUAUUUCAGAUGAUAUGAAUCAUACACAGUAAAAUUGAAAACAGACCAAAGUGGGUUUUGCUGUUGCCAAAACCCACUUCUACAGGGCCUGGCCAGAGGAUUUCCAUCCCUGAGCACUGGACCAGGAAUGUUCCCAGCACAGGGACUCUGGCAGGGAGAAUCUGUGUCUGUAUGGUCCCCUGCACUUGCUGAGGAGAUUGGCCAGCAGUGGGCUGCCUUCAGGUGUCCAUCCCAGGAAAGGCAAUGCUUGCAGCAACUGCCUGGCCUGGUUCCAUCUGAGGCAUCAGUGGUUCCUGUGAACACGAGCAGAACCUGGAGCUGUCAUCCACGUGUGGCCCAUGACAGUGGCAGCUUUGUGAUACCCUGUGCCAUGUCCAGUCUCCACAUUGGCCGCUGCUAUGACACCCGACAGGAACCCAAAGCAGAGAGGGAUUCAGGAGCAGACCAGCUACUGCUUGGCUCCCACAAAUGGUCACCUUGGAACUCUUUAUGGAAGAGGACAAAACACCACCACCACCAUCGUUUCAUAACCCUGCAGCGAAUGUGGAGACAACAACCACCCACCCCCAAAAGGAAACUCCAGCAGGGUACAUGUAUCGAACCUAUGGUGUUGGUCAAGUAUUUUGGAUCAAUAAGUGAGGUUGUACUUUUGACUGGUAAGUGUAAAUCUAAAUCCCUUGGAGGGGAUAUUAUUCUCUGAGGUCACCCCAACCUAAAUUGUUGGCUCAUGGGGAGAUGUGUUGUCUCUAUUUGUUGUAUUGAUGUAGUCUCUUUAGGCCAGUGAAUUAAAGCUCCAUAAGGUCUUGUCCUAUUCCCGCCUCUUCAUGGGAAGGUCCAUUUCACCGAUUGGAAGAGACAGUAAAACCCUCGUGUGGCCAUUCAUAUGAAUCACUAUUUAGGGAACAAGUGAUUAUGCUACCUUUGCACGAUCAGGAUACCAUGGUCGUUUCAUGAAUGUCCCUCGGCAGGCAGGGCCUCUAAUACUACAAAUACUAGAGGUGAUUUUAUUGGUAAACAGGCAGGGUUUGUGUUCGCUGAGUUCCUUUUACUUCUGUUCAUCUUUCCUUGAUUGCCUAUCUGUGUUGGGCCAACAAUUGGUUUGAUAUUGACUUUACAGUUAGGUUAUUUUUAUCUUAUGGUUAACUAUCCAUGGUUAUCUGCUCUGAUAGAAGCUUAUGCAAGGACAAAUAUUUCUUGUUGCACAUACUAGCAUUAUCACUUCUAGUGUGAAAUUCACCCGGUCAUAACUUAGGGGUUGGUUGUCCUUUUUUCGUAUUCAGAUCUUAAGAUCAUAUGCCAGUGCCUGAGCCCUACUAUGAUCGCUCAUCGCCACAGCCCUAACAACCACCCACAGUACGCGAAUCAUAUUUUUCGCCCUUCUAGAACAGCCUGAUACACCCACUUGGUGAUGCAGGGGUGUAAUGCUCGAACCCCUCAUCGGCGAUGGAUGGGUGUCAUGCUAGCGCUCCCCCAUCGGCAAGGGAGUAGUGAUGCCACUACUAAAUCUGACGUUUCCUGAAUAGCUUUCAUCACUGUCAGAGCUGAAGAAGCAGUCAUAUGUUACAGUUAGGGUUAGGGUUAGGAUUAGGGUUAGAGUUAGGGGUUAGGAUAAAGGUUAGGUCACAUUUACACCCCCCGCCCCUUAGGUGUGGGAGGGAGGCACUCAUGCACCUUGCCACCCCUCAGCAUGGGAGGGGGUCAUCCAUGUGCCAGCCCCCCCUCAGUGAGGGAGUAGUGAUGCCACUAUUAAAUCUGACGUUUCAUGAGUGGGUCUUUUCCCUUUCAUGGCUGAAGAAGCAGCAUCUCUUAUGAUGAGGGCUAGGGUUUGGAUUACCCUGAGGAUUAGGGUAAGGGUUAGGUCAUGCUUGCACCUCCCGUUUUGGCAAGGGAGGAAGGUCACACCUGACCCCCGCCACCCUCCUUGUGGAAGAGUGUUCAGGCAUGCACCCUGCCUUCCCUCCACAAGGGAGUAGUGAUGCCACUAUUUAAUGUGUUGUUUUAUGAAUGGCUCUUUUCACUUUCACAGCUGAAGAAGCAGGCAUUUCUUAAGGUAAGGGUUAUGGUUAGGAUUGCUGUUCAUGGUUAGGGUAAGGGAUAGGCCAUGCCUGCACCCUC